Molecule: ribosomal RNA, 495 nt
Filed under: uncultured bacterium
Lineage: Bacteria
Description: partial 16S ribosomal RNA
Rfam family: Bacterial small subunit ribosomal RNA
Source: RNAcentral
UGAACGCUGGCGGCGUGCCUAAUACAUGCAAGUCGAGCGAACAGACGAGGAGCUUGCUCCUCUGACGUUAGCGGCGGACGGGUGAGUAACACGUGGAUAACCUACCUAUAAGACUGGGAUAACUUCGGGAAACCGGAGCUAAUACCGGAUAAUAUAUUGAACCGCAUGGUUCAAUAGUGAAAGACGGUUUUGCUGUCACUUAUAGAUGGAUCCGCGCCGCAUUAGCUAGUUGGUAAGGUAACGGCUUACCAAGGCGACGAUGCGUAGCCGACCUGAGAGGGUGAACGGCCACACUGGAAAUGGGAAACGGUGCAGACUCCUACGGGAGGCAGCAGUAGGGAAUCUUCCGCAAUGGGCGAAAGCCUGACGGAGCAACGCCGCGUGAGUGAUGAAGGUCUUCGGAUCGUAAAACUCUGUUAUUAGGGAAGAACAAAUGUGUAAGUAACUAUGCACGUCUUGACGGUACCUAAUCAGAAAGCCACGGCUAACUACGUG